Molecule: ribosomal RNA, 323 nt
Filed under: uncultured eukaryote
Lineage: Eukaryota
Description: partial 18S ribosomal RNA
Rfam family: Eukaryotic small subunit ribosomal RNA
Source: RNAcentral
CCCUUAGAUGUUCUGGGCUGCACGCGUGCUACACUGAUAUUGCCAAUAUGUCAUUCUUAUCCGAAAUGGAUUGGGUAAUCAAGUAAUGAAAUUUCAUGCUUGGAAUCGGUAAUUGCAGUUUUAUCGUGAACGAGGAAUUCCUAGUAAGCACUAGUCAUCAGCUAAUGUUGAUUAUGUCCCUGCCCUUUGUACACACCGCCCGUCGCUACUACUGAUUGGGUGUUCAAGUGAGAUGCUUAGACCCUUGUUGCAUGGUUCAUUAUUGUGCUCCGAAAGGAAAAAGUUUCAAGCUUGAGUGUCUAGAGGAAGUAAAAGUCGUAACA